UAUUCCUUCACCAUGUUCUUCAUCUUCCCCCAAAAUUCACAGUGAAACCCUACGAUUCUGAAUUGAUAUGGAACACGAAUCGCUUCAGAUCACUUGGUAAUGUUGGGGAAACUCCACAAUACAAUGCCAUCAUUGCGAGAUUGCUGAUGAACUAUGUCAUCUAUGUGGUUAAAUCAUGUUAGGUAAAUGUUCUUUAGAAUUACUAUAACUUUGGUUGUAAACGAACACGAACGAACACGAAUGGAAGCUUGUUCGUGUGUCGUUCGUUUAACUUAAUCGAACAAACGAAUAAACUUGAAUGGUAAACGAACAGGAUCUUUUGUAUUCUUGUUCGUUCGUUAAGAAAAUGUGUUUGUUCA
Molecule: long non-coding RNA, 359 nt
Organism: Cynara cardunculus var. scolymus (artichoke)
Lineage: Eukaryota; Viridiplantae; Streptophyta; Magnoliopsida; Asterales; Asteraceae
Exons: 2
Source: RefSeq, a predicted model, not a curated record